GGUGGUUCUCAGGUGACACACCAAGGAAUCGGGCUCCCUCCUCUCUGGUUCCCAGUGUGUCACCUGAGAACCGCA
Molecule: non-coding RNA, 75 nt
Organism: Myotis lucifugus (little brown bat)
Lineage: Eukaryota; Metazoa; Chordata; Mammalia; Chiroptera; Vespertilionidae
Source: Rfam